AGUCCAGCAGUGGACAAAGAGAUAUCUUGUUGGUAGUAUUGUUCUUUUGUCAGUUAAGGGCAGAGUAGAUGGCAGUCCUUUGUUCUUCCUAGCUUGAUGCUUGGCUUGAUAGCCAAAGUUGUCUGAUACCUAGGACUCAUAA
Molecule: small nucleolar RNA, 142 nt
Organism: Meriones unguiculatus (Mongolian gerbil)
Lineage: Eukaryota; Metazoa; Chordata; Mammalia; Rodentia; Muridae
Product: small nucleolar RNA SNORA48
Exons: 1
Source: RefSeq, a predicted model, not a curated record